This 253-nucleotide ribosomal RNA is filed under the name uncultured bacterium. RNAcentral's name for it is "partial 16S ribosomal RNA". It matches the Rfam family "Bacterial small subunit ribosomal RNA", at positions 524 to 776 of the family's 1533-position model. The record is from RNAcentral.
UACGUAGGGUCCAAGCGUUGUUCGGAUUUACUGGGCGUAAAGGGCGCGUAGGCGGCGUGUCAAGUCAGCUGUGAAAUCUCCGAGCUUAACUCGGAACGGUCAGCUGAUACUGUCAUGCUAGAGUACAGAAGGGGCAAUCGGAAUUCUUGGUGUAGCGGUGAAAUGCGUAGAUAUCAAGAGGAACACCUGAGGUGAAGGCAGGUUGCUGGGCUGAUACUGACGCUGAGGCGCGAAAGCUAGGGUAGCAAACGGG